GUAGUCAUAUGCUUGUCUCAAAGCUUAAGCCAUGCAUGUCUAAGUUCAAGCAAAAAUAACGUGAAACCGCGAAUGGCUCAUUAAAUCAGUUAUGGUUCCUUAGAUCGUACUUACUGCAUGGAUAACUGUGGUAAUUCUAGAGCUAAUACAUGCAAAGAGCUCUGACCCUCGUGGAAAGAGUGCUUUUAUUAGAUCAAAGCCAAUCGGAUCUUCGGGUCCGUUUUGUUGGUGACUCUGAAUAACUUUGCUGAUCGCAUGGUCUCGUACCGGCGACGUAUCUUUCAAGUGUCUGCCUUAUCAACUGUCGAUGGUAGGUUAUGCGCCUACCAUGGUUGCAACGGGUAACGGGGAAU
This 353-nucleotide ribosomal RNA is filed under the name uncultured fungus. Its description in RNAcentral is "SSU rRNA". It matches the Rfam family "Eukaryotic small subunit ribosomal RNA", at positions 20 to 370 of the family's 1831-position model. The record is from RNAcentral. Lineage: Eukaryota; Fungi.